RNAcentral lists this ribosomal RNA (253 nucleotides) under uncultured bacterium. Its description in RNAcentral is "partial 16S ribosomal RNA". It matches the Rfam family "Bacterial small subunit ribosomal RNA", at positions 524 to 776 of the family's 1533-position model. The record is from RNAcentral.
CACGUAGGGUGCAAGCGUUGUCCGGAAUUAUUGGGCGUAAAGAGCUCGUAGGCGGUCUGUUGCGUCCGCUGUGAAAACCCGGGGCUUAACCCUGGGCUGGCAGUGGAUACGGACAGACUAGAGGUAGGUAGGGGAGAAUGGAAUUCCCGGUGUAGCGGUGAAAUGCGCAGAUAUCGGGAGGAACACCGGUGGCGAAGGCGGUUCUCUGGGCCGUACCUGACGCUGAGGAGCGAAAGCGUGGGGAGCGAACAGG